UCGCCCAAUGUUCGUUCGGUUUGAAAGUGACGUAAGCAGUGGUGCGCCGCGAGAGCUCCGAGCAGGUCGCUGCUAGUUUAUUUCUGUAAAGACCUAAUCUGGAUUGCGUCGGCGCAGUGCUAAACAUUAGGUUUCAAAAUACAAAAUGAAGAAGAGGGCAGAUUUAAUAUUAGAAAAAAUUGGUGUACAUCGGGAUAAUGUCAAUAAAGAAAAUGUUGUACCAUCUAAUCGUUGUGAAAUGGCUGAGACGGAUACUAUAAACUUAAUGGACCAAAAUAUUUCUGAGAGUACGCCUGAAAAUGAAAAAAUUAUGUCAUCUAGUCCUUCGGUAAUAGAAAAUUCUCCUGAUAGAUCCAUUCUAUAUAAUGAUCCAAAGUCGUUCCUUCAGCAUAGCGGAAAAAAAGUCCUGAAUAAAUGUGGAAUAG
Molecule: long non-coding RNA, 425 nt
Organism: Plodia interpunctella (Indianmeal moth)
Lineage: Eukaryota; Metazoa; Arthropoda; Insecta; Lepidoptera; Pyralidae
Exons: 4
Source: RefSeq, a predicted model, not a curated record